Molecule: ribosomal RNA, 468 nt
Filed under: Triticum aestivum (bread wheat)
Lineage: Eukaryota; Viridiplantae; Streptophyta; Magnoliopsida; Poales; Poaceae
Description: partial small subunit ribosomal RNA
Source: RNAcentral
AUGCAUGAUCAGGUCGGCCUGGACCUAGACGGCUUCCCACUUGACCAGGAGUUUUCGGAGGACUCCGGGCAAGAGGAAGAGGACGAGUGCGACAUCGAAGGGGAGCCUUUCUUUGAGGACGAGCUCGCCAACCAAACCGCCAGGGUGAAGCCGAAGCAAAAGAGCAAGCGGACCAAGGCAUACACGGCUGCCGAGGACAAGCUUAUUUGUGAGUUUUGGAGAGACAUUGGGCAAGACCCCAAGACAGGCACCGAACAAAAGCAUUCAACUUUUUGGAUUCGUGUCCACUGUGAGUUUCAUGAGCGCAAGAAGUUUCCGCCGUACCAAAUAGUAAGCACGCACGGGUGGGUGUCCAUUUCGAAGCGAUGGAGGAUGAUCCAACAAGAAUGCAACAAGUUUUGUGCCAUUCUUGAGAGCAUCAAGACCCGCCCCAUGAGAGGCAUUGGCAUGCAAGACAUGAUAUGCUAG